GGACAGAGCAGCAGACAGAAACAAUUGUAGGAGACAAAGAGGAAAGAAAAGAAAAUGCAAUUACACAGUCUGGAAGGUCAGAAAGAUUGUUUUGCUUAUUGGUGUUGAAUUUUAAUUAAAAACCAAACAACUUUUCCUAUUAACUUGAUGCUACUUAUUAAUUCAAAUGAAGAGACUGACUCUGGAUAUUGGGAAAAUUUAUCGGCAUAUACAAAGGAAAGGCCGUGUGGGGAAAUAAUGAGAGGACAGCCAUCUGCAAGCCAAGAAGAGAAUCAUCACUAGAAACCAAAUUGGUUGGAACCUUGAUCUUGAACUUCUUGCUUCCAGAAUUAUGAGAAAAUAAAUUGUUGUUUGAGCCACACAGUCUAUUAUAUUUAGUUAGAGCAGUCUGAGGAGACUAAUACAUUGAUAAACUGGUCUGUUACAAUAAUGAAUAUAUUGUUUAUACAUUAUAUAAACAAUUAUGGUUUCUGUAUCAGCCUUAGAUUUCGCAAAUUUGUCAAUAGCUUUGUCAAAGUUGAUUUUCUUUAUAUAUUCCUAUUUCAUGGACUAUAUUAGCUAGAUUUGUCAAUCUAUCCUACCCAUAAAGACUGAAGAACACUUUUUAAUUCAAUUUAAAAGGUUUUUGUCACACAAAGCAACAAAUAUAAAACUAGAAAAAAUUAUAAAUAUGAAUAUAAAUUUGAAGGAAAUUACUAAAAAUCCUGUUGUACUAUAUAUUCCAGAAAUUUUAAACACUGAGGAAAACUUCAACUUGCACCAUGGAGUGAGAGAAUCGAAGUAAUUCAAGUGUUGUAUUUCAUCUUUUCCAUCACUAGGUUGUCAUUUAUUUCAAGUUUUUUUUUUUUUUGUAAUUUAACUUCUAAGUUCAGGGGUACAUAUGCAGGUUUGUUAUAUAUGUAGACUUGUGUCAUAGGGAUU
This 921-nucleotide long non-coding RNA is filed under the name Macaca mulatta (Rhesus monkey). Its description in RNAcentral is "lncRNA (ENSMMUG00000051759.1)". The record is from RNAcentral. Lineage: Eukaryota; Metazoa; Chordata; Mammalia; Primates; Cercopithecidae.